GGCUGGUCUGAGUGUAGUAGCGUUUGCAAGUAAUUGAUAACAAUUAGUUACAGAUAUCUUUGUUCCUUCUCCACUCCCACUGCUUCACUUGACUUAAA
RNAcentral lists this Y RNA (98 nucleotides) under Castor canadensis (American beaver). RNAcentral describes it as "Y RNA (ENSCCNG00000021847.1)". It matches the Rfam family "Y RNA". From Rfam's summary of the family: Y RNAs are components of the Ro ribonucleoprotein particle (Ro RNP), in association with Ro60 and La proteins. The Y RNAs and Ro60 and La proteins are well conserved, but the function of the Ro RNP is not known. The record is from Rfam by way of RNAcentral. Lineage: Eukaryota; Metazoa; Chordata; Mammalia; Rodentia; Castoridae.